Long non-coding RNA from Setaria italica (foxtail millet), 2565 nucleotides. RefSeq lists it as uncharacterized. The transcript has 2 exons. The record is from RefSeq and is a predicted model, not a curated record. Lineage: Eukaryota; Viridiplantae; Streptophyta; Magnoliopsida; Poales; Poaceae.
GGUCGGGCCGGGUUGUUGGGUUGGUCUUUUGAACCCGGCCGGGCCCUAUGAGCCGCAUCAUUCUGCAGCGCGAACCUGACGAACGGAAUCGGCGGCGGCGGCGGCCAGCGACGCAGUUUGCGACCGGGAUCGGCGGGGGUUUUCCUCACGGGCGUGGGGGAGGGGUUUGGCCUUGGAUGAGCGGUAAAUCAGCAGGAGCAGCGAGGUACGUUUCCGUUGUAGGUCGGUUUCAGAUUUAUUUGUACUCUAGCAGAAUCACGGGCGCGGCUGUGUGACUGCAGAGUUCGUCCCAGUUUUGCUCGCAAUCACAUCAGAGUUUGCCGUGCUUGCCUGUGGAAUGGCAUCUCCAGUUGUGGAAUGGCUCCAAUGUGGUUUCAUGAACCAUUUGAGGUUGCAUAAAACUUCAGCCUUUCAUGAUACCUUCUCACUCUUGGGCUUCAGAUUUAGCAUAAGCCUGAAAGAUCCUACUGCCUUCAGGGAAGUACUCUGCAGCCUUUGAGGCCGUGGGUGAGAUAUAAAAUCAAGUUGAUCCCAUUGCAGUAUGUCUGUCUGUUACAUGUAUGACAGAUCCACAAGUUCAACUUUUGCCUACUUUGACCCCAAUUUAGAAAGACUUUGCACCAUGACAUUGGUUUUGUGAUCCUGAGCAAUAGUCCUGCAUUCCUUUCAGUUCACUGACACAAAUUAUUUGUAGUUUACAAUUUGGUCAUAACUGCAAACUGUCAUAGAUCUUAUUUUCUUGGAUGGCAUGAGCUGUUUCCAGUUCAUCUAAAGAAAAGGCUGUCUCCAGUUAAUUGUAUCGUAGACUGCCCCCUCUUAAACUAUAAUGCAGGGCUAGUGCAGAAGCAGGCGAUGGUCUCUCUAGUUGCAACUUGCAAGUUCCUUUUUUCCCCGUGUCCAUUGUCCUCUCUGAUAUCUGCCUGUAUGGCUGUGCAUCACACGGACCACAGUAUGCUCUUUCUUCUGUUUGUUGUCCUCCUCCAUGCCGCAAGCAAUUUGUUCUGCAUUGAGCUCUUGUCCCUGACUCCCUGUAAUGCCCGCCUGUUUCUUUCCUUCCAUGUGGUCCACCAUGUAGCCACAAAUGAUCAUGACACUUCUUUCCUGCUUUGGUAAUUUGAUUUCAGUUCAACUAAAUUUUACCUUUAUGUUCCAGAGGGUUUUAUCCAAACACAUCAAAUGGGCUAGUUUUUUUUUUAAUAAUUUCACACAUCAAGUGGAUUCAAAGAUCUUGAUGAGUUAUUUGAGCAGAGCGAAACUAUUGAGAUUGAUUUGAAGUAGAUAACAAAAUAGACAUGCUGACUAUGUGGAAUGAGAAUUCGGCAAUUAGAAGCUCCUGCCAUUUUCUACAUGUAAGCUGUAACUGUAACUGUUUCUUGUUGACCCCAUCUGUUACUGGAUCCUGAUUUGCUGUUUUCGGUAUUAGCAAAAGGCAAACCUUUACUCUAAAACCUUUUGCUAAUUUUAGGCUGGGAGAACUGUUUAAAUUGCUUCAAUCUUUUUUUACCAGGUUCAGCCUUGUAUCUUCUACUAGCCCUUGUGUUGUAUUGCCGUACCACCAUGAUGUUUGGAUCUCUGCAGUCUUGCUAUUCCAAUCUUAAGCUGUCGUGUUCAUACCGAUGUCUAGUCAUGUUUCAUAGGACUUGUAUAUUUUAUAACUUGCUUUCAUUGUCAUUCACUGGUCCAGCCUGUUUGGCACACAGGUCACAAAUCUGGAUCAUAUUAUCCAUGUUCAGGAGGGGUGUGGCUAAGGGCAUCUAUGCAAGGAUGAUCAUUUUUAUGCUAGUGCCAGUAAUUUGGAUGAUUUGUAGUAAUGAAGCAUUUGAGUUAUCCACAGACAAGCCUUCAUUGUUUAGGUUUUCUUUUAGUGAUUAGUCAAAGGGGUGUAUGAGAUGAGCGCUAGAUGUCAGCAGUGUUCUUUUGUUUCUAUGCUGCAAUUACUUCUGAUGUCCUGCUCCCCUCACUUUAGGAUGAACAUAUAUUUUGCACUCAUGCGGCUUUUGGAAAGAAACCUGCCAAAUGUAACUGAUCAAUUUGGCAUGAUGUCCCAAAGGUUUGUUUUCACUUUUCUUUUUCCAUGUUUUGCAGAGAACCAACAUUCUCUUGAAGUUGCAAAUAUGGUGUGGAUGUUCUUUAUGAUCCAGAUCCAUGCUCAUUGACUUUUGCUGAAACACUGAGUUCAUAAGUAGAGAAACGUAAAGGAUGGUCGUUGCAUGGAACGAAAAGGUCAAUGUAGCAGGCCAGUUGCAUACCCCUCCAAGGCCAAGAGUAUAUCAGGUUGUCAAAGAAAUGCCUCAAGCACAUCAAACAUGCCCAGCUAGGUAAUGUUAGCUAAAGUUGCAAGGAGCAGCCAGAAGUACCACUAGGUGUUCACGCAUUGUAUUCUUAAUUGUGAGGUACUUUAUUUUUACACAGGCAGUGACGUAUUCUUUGUUGCAGCUUUGGUGUUUAUCAGUCGUAAGGUCAGGAACGGCUUAUAAUUUGGCAUCGUUUAAUUCAUUUGUUACCAGCAGACUGAUUCCAUCAGUUACCAUCCUGUAAAGUUUCGUGCUCUCAUUUCUCCUGUCA